This 752-nucleotide ribosomal RNA is filed under the name uncultured Bacteroidales bacterium. RNAcentral describes it as "bacterial SSU rRNA". It matches the Rfam family "Bacterial small subunit ribosomal RNA", at positions 28 to 769 of the family's 1533-position model. Lineage: Bacteria; Pseudomonadati; Bacteroidota; Bacteroidia; Bacteroidales. The record is from RNAcentral.
GAUGAACGCUAGCUACAGGCUUAACACAUGCAAGUCGAGGGGCAGCAUGGUCUUAGCUUGCUAAGGCCGAUGGCGACCGGCGCACGGGUGAGUAACACGUAUCCAACCUGCCGUCUACUCUUGGACAGCCUUCUGAAAGGAAGAUUAAUACAAGAUGGCAUCAUGAGUCCGCAUGUUCACAUGAUUAAAGGUAUUCCGGUAGACGAUGGGGAUGCGUUCCAUUAGAUAGUAGGCGGGGUAACGGCCCACCUAGUCUUCGAUGGAUAGGGGUUCUGAGAGGAAGGUCCCCCACAUUGGAACUGAGACACGGUCCAAACUCCUACGGGAGGCAGCAGUGAGGAAUAUUGGUCAAUGGGCGAGAGCCUGAACCAGCCAAGUAGCGUGAAGGAUGACUGCCCUAUGGGUUGUAAACUUCUUUUAUAAAGGAAUAAAGUCGGGUAUGGAUACCCGUUUGCAUGUACUUUAUGAAUAAGGAUCGGCUAACUCCGUGCCAGCAGCCGCGGUAAUACGGAGGAUCCGAGCGUUAUCCGGAUUUAUUGGGUUUAAAGGGAGCGUAGAUGGAUGUUUAAGUCAGUUGUGAAAGUUUGCGGCUCAACCGUAAAAUUGCAGUUGAUACUGGAUAUCUUGAGUGCAGUUGAGGCAGGCGGAAUUCGUGGUGUAGCGGUGAAAUGCUUAGAUAUCACGAAGAACUCCGAUUGCGAAGGCAGCCUGCUAAGCUGCAACUGACAUUGAGGCUCGAAAGUGUGGGUAUC